GUUUCCUACGGGGGGCAGCAGUAGGGAAUUUUCGUCAAUGGGCGCAAGCCUGAACGAGCGAUGCCGCGUGAGCGAAGAAGGCCUUCGGGUCGUAAAGCUCUGUUGCGGGGGAAAAAAGGGAGCAUCAGGAAAUGGGAGCUGACUGAUGGUGCCCCGCCAGAAAGCCACGGCUAACUACGUGCCAGCAGCCGCGGUAAUACGUAGGUGGCGAGCGUUAUCCGGAAUGAUUGGGCGUAAAGGGAGCGCAGGCGGUCC
RNAcentral lists this ribosomal RNA (255 nucleotides) under uncultured bacterium. RNAcentral describes it as "partial 16S ribosomal RNA". It matches the Rfam family "Bacterial small subunit ribosomal RNA", at positions 334 to 581 of the family's 1533-position model. The record is from RNAcentral.